RNAcentral lists this ribosomal RNA (440 nucleotides) under uncultured bacterium. Its description in RNAcentral is "partial 16S ribosomal RNA". It matches the Rfam family "Bacterial small subunit ribosomal RNA", at positions 338 to 795 of the family's 1533-position model. The record is from RNAcentral.
CCUACGGGUGGCAGCAGUAGGGAAUCUUUCACAAUGGGCGAAAGCCUGAUGGAGCAACGCCGCGUGCAGGAUGAAGGCCUUCGGGUUGUAAACUGCUUUUAUAAGCGAGAAAUAUGAUGGUAACUUAUGAAUAAGGAUCGGCUAACUACGUGCCAGCAGCCGCGGUAAUACGUAGGAGGCAAGCGUUAUCCGGAAUGACUGGGCGUAAAGGGUGCGUAGGUGGUUUGACAAGUUGGUAGCGUAACUCCGGGGCUUAACCUUGGCACUACUACCAAAACUGUCGGACUUGAGUGCAGGAGGGGCAAAUGGAAUUCCUAGUGUAGCGGUGGAAUGCGUAGAUAUUAGGAGGAACACCAGUGGCGAAGGCGAUUUGCUGGACUGUAACUGACACUGAGGCACGAAAGCGUGGGGAGCAAACAGGAUUAGAUACCCUAGUAGUC